CGUCACUCAAAGUGGGAGAAUGGGCAAACCCACCGCCCCGUUAACUCUUUACUUGUCAGACUGAGCGGCGAGAGGACGCCUCCCCGCUCUCUCUCUUUCUUUCCCCCUCUCAAGUAUCCUCCUACCGCUGCUGGACGCCAGCAGCAGCAGCAGCUCAUCUCUAAGGACUUGGGCUUUGGAGCUGGUGGGGGAUGGGUUCAAGCCCUACCGUCCAUGAAAAUGUACACCUGGCAAGAAACUGGCAAACGCGGAAUCUACGCUGUAGAUUUGCGAUCGUGGACAAUUCUUAACAUCUGAGUGUCUAAUAAUCGUGGACGACCUUGCUGAUCUCUCUCUUUGCCCUUCCCGCUCAGACGGCUAACAUAAAAGGAAGGAUGUUUAUGAUGGACGGGCAGCGUUUUUAAAGCGAGGCGUCACAUGGCGCUUGAUGGGAGGGAUCCGAAUCGAGAUGGCUGUGAUGUGACGAGACAGACAGGAACAUCCUUCUCGUCAUGUCAAGAUGUCAAGCAGCGGGAGUCUUAGCAGAAAAGACAGUAUCAUCAGUCUCCCAAGUGAAGCAAGGAUUGCAAAGAGGGCGUCAUUUCUGCAGUACCUGGGCUGACUUCUUUUUUUUUCAAGGUGAUAACUAACUGGCAGUCAGGAAAAUCAGAAGGAAAUUUGCAACUUGUCAACAACAGCUCAGAUCUGACCGAAGACCUUGCUUAGCUUGAGUGUCUUGGAUCAUUCAUACAAAGGUUGUUGUCACCUUGAAAGAGCCACCAGUCCAGAAAGUUCUUAUUUCAACUCUAGUAACAUACAUGACGACACUGUUUUGGGCAGUUCACAAAAAAUGUAAGAAAAAAAAUCACCAUUAAAAGAUGAAUGGGAUUUCGGCUCUUCUCGGCAAUAAUGAGCCUUACUUCAUGGAACAGCUUUUAUGAAGCCAUCAAAUUACCAAAUUACCCUUUACCAAAUAAGGGUGGCUGACUUGAAAGUCCUCUCACAAGUCCAGAUAUUAUUCCUGUCAUACAGUAUAAUUCACUGUAUUCUGUUGCUUGGAUGAAAGCUACUGCUUAGUAUCGGCUUCUACUGUAAGCUAUCUAAAAACCUUUUAUGUAAUUAGUUGGAUUUAGAGAAAUGUAUUUUUGUCCAAGCGAAUGCACCUAUAUCAAUGGGGUACAGUUUCUCUCCCUAUAAACGAAAUAAAAAUCAUAAAAAAUGUAACACACUUGCUUUGCUGCUUGUCUAUGAAUAAACAAGUGAGGUGUCCUUUUAAAAAAAUCUGCAUAAAUUGACACCAAUUAAAAAUGCGACUCUGCCUUCUCUCGA
Long non-coding RNA from Phyllopteryx taeniolatus (common seadragon), 1308 nucleotides. RefSeq lists it as uncharacterized. Lineage: Eukaryota; Metazoa; Chordata; Actinopteri; Syngnathiformes; Syngnathidae. The record is from RefSeq and is a predicted model, not a curated record. The transcript is spliced from 4 exons.